RNAcentral lists this transfer RNA (68 nucleotides) under Trachypithecus phayrei (Phayre's leaf monkey). RNAcentral describes it as "tRNA-Gly". The record is from RNAcentral. Lineage: Eukaryota; Metazoa; Chordata; Mammalia; Primates; Cercopithecidae.
AUUCUUUUAGUAUAACUAGUACAGCUGACUUCCAAUUAGCUAGUUUCGACAACACUCGAAAAAGAAUA